AGUGUUUAUAGCCCUGUGAGUUUAACACUUCAUGACUGAGAGCUGUCCUUCAUGACAACAGAACCCAAAACAACCAUGACAUUUAUCACCAUAUUCAUCUGGAUAUUUGCCCUCUGUCUCCAAGAAUCCAGAGGACAGUUCACUGUGACUCAGACUCCUGCAGUGAAAACUGUUCUACCAGGACAGACAGUCUCUCUGAACUGUAAAACCAGCAGUGAUGUGAAUGGUGCAGGAGGCUCUAUUCCCCGUCUAGCCUGGUACCAACAGAAACCUGGAGGAGCUCCUAAACGCCUUAUUUACUAUGCUACAACACUUCAGUCUGGGACUCCAUCUAGAUUCAGUGGCAGUGGAUCUGGGAGUGACUUCACUCUGACCAUCAGUGGAGUCCAAGCUGAAGAUGCAGGAGAUUACUACUGUCAGAGUGAACACUACAUCAAUAGUAAAUAUGUGUUCACACAGUGA
Molecule: non-coding RNA, 462 nt
Organism: Coregonus clupeaformis (lake whitefish)
Lineage: Eukaryota; Metazoa; Chordata; Actinopteri; Salmoniformes; Salmonidae
Source: the annotation of a RefSeq genome assembly